GGAUUGAACGCUGGCGGCAGGCCUAACACAUGCAAGUCGAGCGGUAGAGAGGUGCUUGCAUCUCUUGAGAGCGGCGGACGGGUGAGUAAUGCCUAGGAAUCUGCCUAGUGGUGGGGGAUAACGUUCGGAAACGGACGCUAAUACCGCAUACGUCCUACGGGAGAAAGCGGGGGACCUUCGGGCCUCGCGCCAUUAGAUGAGCCUAGGUCGGAUUAGCUAGUUGGUGAGGUAAUGGCUCACCAAGGCGACGAUCCGUAACUGGUCUGAGAGGAUGAUCAGUCACACUGGAACUGAGACACGGUCCAGACUCCUACGGGAGGCAGCAGUGGGGAAUAUUGGACAAUGGGCGAAAGCCUGAUCCAGCCAUGCCGCGUGUG
RNAcentral lists this ribosomal RNA (377 nucleotides) under uncultured soil bacterium. RNAcentral's name for it is "bacterial SSU rRNA". It matches the Rfam family "Bacterial small subunit ribosomal RNA", at positions 27 to 405 of the family's 1533-position model. The record is from RNAcentral.